CGUCGAUGUCGCGACUGGCGUCUGGGUGGGUCACCACCGGGGAGCGACCGUCAUGGAUUCGACCGCGCGCCUGGGCCGAUGAG
Microbacterium azadirachtae is the source of this 83-nucleotide regulatory RNA element. It matches the Rfam family "ZMP/ZTP riboswitch aptamer (pfl RNA motif)". Rfam says of the family: Previously known as pfl RNA. The record is from Rfam. Lineage: Bacteria; Bacillati; Actinomycetota; Actinomycetes; Micrococcales; Microbacteriaceae.